RNAcentral lists this non-coding RNA (28 nucleotides) under Rattus norvegicus (Norway rat). Lineage: Eukaryota; Metazoa; Chordata; Mammalia; Rodentia; Muridae. The record is from RNAcentral.
AGUGCUGGGCUAAAAGUCAUGUAUGACC